RNAcentral lists this ribosomal RNA (208 nucleotides) under uncultured bacterium. RNAcentral's name for it is "partial 16S ribosomal RNA". It matches the Rfam family "Bacterial small subunit ribosomal RNA", at positions 568 to 774 of the family's 1533-position model. The record is from RNAcentral.
UGCGCAGGCGGGACUGCAAGUUGGAUGUGAAAUACCGAGGCUCAACCUCGGGGCUGCAUCCAAAACUGUAGUUCUUGAGUGGAGUAGAGGCAAGCGGAAUUCCGAGUGUAGCGGUGAAAUGCGUAGAUAUUCGGAGGAACACCAGUGGCGAAGGCGGCUUGCUGGGUUCUAACUGACGCUGAGGCACGAAAGCAUGGGGGAGCAAACA